Molecule: ribosomal RNA, 425 nt
Filed under: uncultured bacterium
Lineage: Bacteria
Description: bacterial SSU rRNA
Rfam family: Bacterial small subunit ribosomal RNA
Source: RNAcentral
GGGGAAUUUUGGACAAUGGGGGCAACCCUGAUCCAGCCAUGCCGCGUGUAUGAAGAAGGCCUUCGGGUUGUAAAGUACUUUUGUCAGGGAAGAAAAGCCUGGGGAUAACACCCUCGGGUCAUGACGGUACCUGAAGAAUAAGCACCGGCUAACUACGUGCCAGCAGCCGCGGUAAUACGUAGGGUGCGAGCGUUAAUCGGAAUUACUGGGCGUAAAGCGAGCGCAGACGGCUAUUUAAGCAAGAUGUGAAAGCCCCGGGCUCAACCUGGGAACUGCGUUUUGAACUGGGUAACUAGAGUGUGUCAGAGGGGGGUAGAAUUCCACGUGUAGCAGUGAAAUGCGUAGAGAUGUGGAGGAAUACCGAUGGCGAAGGCAGCCCCCUGGGAUAACACUGACGUUCAUGCUCGAAAGCGUGGGUAGCAAAC